This 1373-nucleotide long non-coding RNA is filed under the name Lupinus angustifolius (narrow-leaved blue lupine). RNAcentral's name for it is "long non-coding RNA (LANG_LNC000831)". The record is from RNAcentral. Lineage: Eukaryota; Viridiplantae; Streptophyta; Magnoliopsida; Fabales; Fabaceae.
AAGAGUAGAAUACAAUAAUUUGUAAAAAUCGUACAUGUAAUUCUAAACUUCUUAUAUUUUCUCUCUUCAUCAUAUACUCACUCUAGAAGCAUCAUCCUCCUCCUCUUUCAUUUUAGACUAAGCUAACACGGGAUACAACCUUAUAUAUGAUAACUUCAUUUUAAAAUUUAUUUUAAUGUGUUAAAAGUUUGGAGGGGCCGAAAUGAAACUUAGUGAGACGGAAGGAAAUAAAAGGAAGGUGAGUUACCUCUCUAACUUAGAAGUCACAUUUGGCCACAUGACUUCAUAAUGUUCCACUUUAUUUAAAAAACCUAACUUAAGUUAGGAUAGACCAACACAUUUUUUUGAGUGACCCAUUUAUUUUUUUAAUUUCCAACUUUGAAGUCAUGAUGAGUUAAUAUGAUUUUUGAGUGAUACAUUUAUUUUAUAAUUUUCCAAUCAAGAAUUCAUGGUGGGCCAACAUGAGUUAUGAUUGGCCCAUUUAUUGUUUUAAUUUCCAGCUCAGAGGUCCCAAUCGACUAAGAUAGCUUCUGAGUGAUCUAUUUAUUUUCAAUUUUCCAACUUGACCCAUUUGUUUUUUAAAUUUACAAGUCGUAUUGUGCAAAUACUCUUUUAACAUCGUGUUGGGCCUGGAUUUGAAGUCAUGUACAGUGGUAUGGAUUAACGAGUAAAUGACGCAAUUAUUUCUUCAGCCAAUAAUAUCAAGUAAAUGAAAAAAUAAUCUAUGUUAUUAAAUUAGAUUGAAAACGAAACAAACAUAAUUGAUUUAGUCUCCUCCCAAAUGAGUCUUAGUCUCACACUAAGGCGUGUGCCUCUUUCGUUCGGGUAGUUGGAGUCCACGUCCACUUUGUUCUUCAUUUGAUUGUUCUAUAAAUAUUUUUUUAUGUACCUUGGAAGUUGGAAGAACUAAGACCGGAAUCAUGUUGAUCAAAAUUUUAGGAUAGACCGUUGAAGUAUGGCACUUGCUAAUUUAGGGGUAUCGAUAUUCACAACAAACAAAUUAGUAUGAAAAUCACUCAUAGUUGCAGCAAAUGAGUGACGUUGAAAUAUUCAAAGUGGUGUUGGGAUGAUGGAUGAUAUCAAAAUGACAUUUUUCGCAGUUGAAUUACGAACAUCUGGGACAUGGGAGCUUGCGGUGUCAGGGCUUGAGGAAUUGAAAGAUAGUGUAUGAUAUGUAAUCUUGCAGGAGUCAAUUGGUUGAUAAAAAGGGUUGGAGUUAGUGAGUUAGCAAUUCAUACAUUCUUGCAUAUGCAAUGGACCUUUAAGUAAUGGUCCUUGCAAAAUUUGAUUUUUACGGUCACUCCAAAAUUUUAUUCAUUGUGCAUGUUUAUCUCAUUUGCAUUUGAUUAUCAUGUUUAUCAAUUCUAUGGGGG